CGAAUAUUGUUGACGUCUGUCUG
RNAcentral lists this non-coding RNA (23 nucleotides) under Arabidopsis thaliana (thale cress). The record is from RNAcentral. Lineage: Eukaryota; Viridiplantae; Streptophyta; Magnoliopsida; Brassicales; Brassicaceae.